CAAACGGUAGUUUAAUUUAAAACGAAGGCAUUGGAAGCCUUUAAUCUUCUUUUUGAAGUUGUUUGA
This 66-nucleotide transfer RNA is filed under the name Solemya velesiana. RNAcentral describes it as "tRNA-Pro". The record is from RNAcentral. Lineage: Eukaryota; Metazoa; Mollusca; Bivalvia; Solemyida; Solemyidae.